Molecule: unclassified non-coding RNA, 209 nt
Filed under: fungal sp.
Lineage: Eukaryota; Fungi
Description: partial internal transcribed spacer region
Rfam family: Eukaryotic small subunit ribosomal RNA (bases 1-46)
Source: RNAcentral
AAGUCGUAACAAGGUUUCCGUAGGUGAACCUGCGGAAGGAUCAUCAUCAAAUUGGGCUUUGUCCCAUAUCCAACUCGUCCUGUGUGAACUUGUUAACCAAUCUGGGGUGAGGCUUUGGUUAAGCCCCAGCAAUUAAACUACAAUCUUACUAUUGUGCUGAUUUAAUAACCUAGAAAAUACAACUUUCAACAAUGGAUCUCUAGGCUCUC